UCAGGAAUCUUGGACAAUGGGGGCAACCCUGAUCCAGCCAUGCCGCGUGAGUGAAGAAGGCCUUCGGGUUGUAAAACUCUUUCAGAUGUGAAGAUGAUGACGGUAGCAUCAGAAGAAGCUCCGGCUAAAUUCGUGCCAGCAGCCGCGGUAAUACGAAUGGAGCGAGCGUUGUUCGGAAUCACUGGGCGUAAAGCGUACGUAGGCGGAUAAGCAAGUCAGAAGUGAAAGCCCAGGGCUCAACCCUGGAAUCGCUUUUGAAACUGUUUAUCUAGAGUCCGGAAGAGGUUGGCGGAAUUCCCAGUGUAGAGGUGAAAUUCGCAGAUAUUGGGAGGAACACCAGUGGCGUAGGCGGCCAACUGGACCGGAACUGACGCUGAGGUACGAAAGCGUGGGGAGCAAACA
RNAcentral lists this ribosomal RNA (402 nucleotides) under uncultured bacterium. RNAcentral describes it as "bacterial SSU rRNA". It matches the Rfam family "Bacterial small subunit ribosomal RNA", at positions 355 to 774 of the family's 1533-position model. The record is from RNAcentral.